ACCAGUUACUGGUCGCAUUUCUGCGUGGUCUGUUAGUUGAGCUCUGAGGGUCGGUGCCGGUAGGGUGAGCGGUGGUUUGUAAAUUGAAGAGUGAUCAGUGCAUGGAUCGUGACACGCUGUCGCGGGUGCUGCCCAAAGGUGUAGUGUUUAAAACCAAUGAUCAAAGGUAUGUCCGAGCCUUCGACAAGGCAGCCCGGACCAGCCAGCACAACUGAGCAAAGAUAAGGGCGGAAUACUCCACUUCUGGUUUGGAUUGGCCGGCAACUUGGGUCUUGACGAGCCCCCGUUGAGAGUCUGCACACCGGCUGCCAGCGACAUCGGAGCCAUCGCGCCCGGUCUUCCAGCUGUCUGUGUCACGUCCUGUCACUGUCCACAACCCUGCUGUCGCCGCCGCUGCUGCUGCUGCUGCUGCUGCUUCCCUCGACUUCACACGGCUUCGUUGCCGAAAUGGCGGCUGGAGAUUUGGGCAACUUCA
Amphibalanus amphitrite is the source of this 475-nucleotide long non-coding RNA. RefSeq lists it as uncharacterized. The record is from RefSeq and is a predicted model, not a curated record. NCBI's taxonomy places the organism in Eukaryota, Metazoa, Arthropoda, Thecostraca, Balanomorpha, Balanidae. The transcript has 3 exons.